UGUUUAAUGAAUGCAUCCAAGUGAUAGCUAGCGCAAUUAGUAUUGUCUGAUAUAUUUUCUGUUAGCUGUGAGCGAUGUUGAAUUCAGCGGAAAUGGCAACAAACCAACGUAGCGCCACUUUCGUCGCGCUUUCAAUUUUGUACUUUGAUUUACUGUACUACUGGGUGCAGGUUCUUUAGUUUUGCUGUUUACCGUCAUUAGUUUAUCAUUGUCAAAGUAGACAACGUUUAUACAUAUGUUUGGGGUGGUUCUAGGGCCGUCCAGCUGAGUGUGAGCCAGCUGAGCCGCGGACCUACGAGUGCGGACUGAGAUUGAGCCAGCCGCUGCCACUGUUUUGUUCCACCGUCGUGCCCAAACAUAUCUGCAGCGAUCGCGGGCCUGGACUGGACGUCGGACUACUGGGCUGCUGUCUCCGACUGGCGAGGCGGCGUCUCGGACAUGGAUCGUCUUCUUCGCCGAGCUGGAGCCGGCGACUCAUCGCUGGACUACGGCGUGCCGUCCUGGUGUGCACGACGGCACACACGGACCUACGAGGAUGGUGUACUUCGUGCGCGCUGCUGCCCGAGCGGUCGUGUCGGCUGGCGGCGCGCAGCAUCUUCGGCUCGGCUACUACCGUGCGAUGUGACUGUGCGUGGUGCGCGGAGAAAUGACCAUGCCGCCCGGGGGCGGCGCCUUCGGCCUCAGACUGCCUCGUGCGGUGGUGAUGCGUUACCGUGACCGGCAUCGGUGAACGGCGUUAGUGCGUGACUUCGGACUGCGCGCACAGUGCGUUUUGUGCUUACCUGGCGGCCAUGCAGUCGCGUGUGCAAGAGCGGACAAUUGCUGUUUGCAAUGCUGUGAGAAGAAUUUGUCUUUCGUUACCUUGCUGUGAGAGCAUUUGGUAUUGCAUAUUCGGUCGCUCAAUGUGUGAGUUUUCGGUUCGUCCGAAAACUAGGGGGGAGGAUGUUGCGACCGGUCACCGUUUGUGAGAAAUCUGGCGGCUCUUUACGUUCGGGAGCCGGCCCGUCAUUUAGUGGCCGCGUUUGCUCGCGUGUCUUUGACGAGUUUGGCGCACGAGACGCAUCCAAAUUGUCGACCACGCAGGCUCAUUCUUGAAUGAACCACUGGUGUCGAGGGCUGUCGGCCGUCCAGCUGAGUGUGAGCCAGCUGAGCCGCGGACCUACGAGUGCGGACUGAGAUUGAGCCAGCCGCUGCCACUGUUUUGUUCCACCGUCGUGCCCAAACAUAUCUGCUGAUGGGAGAACAGUUCAUAAUGGUGAUCCGCCCCAGCCUGGUGGCGGCGGACCAGUGGAGCGACGGCGCCGAGGCCGCCUGGCGCAGGCUGUUCCAGGUGAUCAGCCACAGCAUGAAGGUCGGCCUGCAGAACAGCCGGGCGGUCGGCCGGCAGAGCUCCUCCCGCCGGCGGGCGGCCCCUCUGAACGCCGCGGGGGUCACCCAGCCGGCCCUCUGAGUGCCGCGGGGGUCACCCAGCCGGCCCUCUGAGUGCCGCGGGGGCCACCCGGACCCCUCUCUGAGUGCCGCGGGGGUCACCCGGACCCCUCUCUGAGUGCCGGGGGGGGGUUACCCGGACGGCCCUCUGAGUGCCGGGGGGGGGGGGGUUACCCGGACGGCCGGCAGCGGCAUCUCGCGCACCACCUGAGGGACACCAACCGCCGCCCCUGAGGGUCCGCCGACUGAGGGUCCGCCAGCUGAGGGUCCGCCACCUCCGUCCGCCGACUGAGCCAGCUGAGGGACAGCCACCUCCGUCCGCCGACUGAGGGUCCGCCAGCUGAGGGACAGCCACCUCCGUCCGCCGACUGAGGGUCCGCCGACUGAGGGACAGCCACCUCCGUCCGCCAGCUGAGGGACAGCCACCUCCGUCCGCCAGCUGAGGGACAGCCACCUCCGUCCGCCAGCUGAGGGUCCGCCAGCUGAGGGACAGUCACCUCCGUCCGCCAGCUGAGGG
Amphibalanus amphitrite is the source of this 1945-nucleotide RNA transcript. RefSeq lists it as uncharacterized. NCBI's taxonomy places the organism in Eukaryota, Metazoa, Arthropoda, Thecostraca, Balanomorpha, Balanidae. The transcript is spliced from 5 exons. The record is from RefSeq and is a predicted model, not a curated record.